This 440-nucleotide ribosomal RNA is filed under the name uncultured bacterium. RNAcentral's name for it is "bacterial SSU rRNA". It matches the Rfam family "Bacterial small subunit ribosomal RNA", at positions 338 to 795 of the family's 1533-position model. The record is from RNAcentral.
CCUACGGGAGGCAGCAGUGGGGAAUAUUGCACAAUGGGGGAAACCCUGAUGCAGCAACGCCGCGUGAGCGAAAAAGGCGUUCGGGUCGUAAAGGUCUGUCCUAAGGGAAGAAUACUGACGGUACCUUAGGGGGAAGGCCCGAUUAACUACGUGCCAGCAGCCGCGGUAAUACGUAGGGGGCUAGCGUUAUCCGGAAUUACUGGGGGUAAAGGGUGCGUAGGCGGCCCUGCAAGUCAGAGCCGAAAGUGUACGGCUCAACUGUAGUAAGCCUUUGAAACUGUAGGGCUUGAGUGCAGUAGAGGAGAGUGGAAUUCCCAGUGUAGCGGUGAAAUGCGUAGAUAUUGUGAGGAACACCAGUUGCGAAGGCGGCUCUCUGGACUGUAACUGACGCUGAGGCACGAAAGCGUGGGGAGCGAACAGGAUUAGAUACCCGGGUAGUC